GGUGAAAUCCAGGAGCUCAACUACAGAACUGGCUUUAAUACUGCCAGUCGAGAGACCGAGAGAGGUAAGUGGAACUCCUAGUGUAGAGGUGGAAUUCGUAGAUAUUAGGAAGAACACCAGUGGCGAAGGCGGCUUACUGGCUCGGAACUGACGCUGAGGUGCGAAAGCGUGGGGAGCAAACAG
RNAcentral lists this ribosomal RNA (183 nucleotides) under uncultured bacterium. RNAcentral's name for it is "partial 16S ribosomal RNA". It matches the Rfam family "Bacterial small subunit ribosomal RNA", at positions 593 to 775 of the family's 1533-position model. The record is from RNAcentral.